GAUGAACGCUGGCGGCGUGCCUAAUACAUGCAAGUCGAGCGAACAGACGAGGAGCUUGCUCCUCUGACGUUAGCGGCGGACGGGUGAGUAACACGUGGAUAACCUACCUAUAAGACUGGGAUAACUUCGGGAAACCGGAGCUAAUACCGUAUAAUAUAUUGAACCGCAUGGUUCAAUAGUGAAAGACGGUUUUGCUGUCACUUAUAGCUGGAUCCCCGCCGCAUUAGCUAGUUGGUAAGGUAACGGCUUACCACGGCAACGAUGCGUAGCCGACCUGAGAGGGUGAUAGGCCACACUGGAACUGAGACGCGGUCCAGACUCCUGCGGGAGGCAGCAGUAGGGAAUCUUCCGCAAUGGGCGAAAGCUUGACGGAGCAACGCCGCGUGAGUGGUGAAGGUCUUCGGAUCGUAAAACUCUGUUAUUAGGGAAGAACAAAUGUGGAAGUAACUAUGCACGUCUUGACGGUACCUAAUCAGAAAGCCACGGCUAACUACGUG
This 497-nucleotide ribosomal RNA is filed under the name uncultured bacterium. RNAcentral describes it as "partial 16S ribosomal RNA". It matches the Rfam family "Bacterial small subunit ribosomal RNA", at positions 28 to 507 of the family's 1533-position model. The record is from RNAcentral.